Molecule: unclassified non-coding RNA, 378 nt
Filed under: uncultured Thermoleophilia bacterium
Lineage: Bacteria; Bacillati; Actinomycetota; Thermoleophilia
Description: contains 16S-23S intergenic spacer region
Source: RNAcentral
UCCGGCUUGUCGCCGGCAGUCUCUCUAGAGUCCCCGACAUUACUCGCUGGCAACUAGAGACGGGGGUUGCGCUCGUUGCGGAACUUAAUCCAACACCUCACGGCACGAGCUGACGACAGCCAUGCACCACCUGUGAUGGUGUCCCGAAGGAAAACCGUGUUUCCACGGCGGUCACCAACAUGUCAAGUCUUGGUAAGGUUCUUCGCGUUGCAUCGAAUUAAUCCGCAUGCUCCGCUGCUUGUGCGGGUCCCCGUCAAUUCCUUUGAGUUUUAGCCUUGCGGCCGUACUCCCCAGGCGGGGCACUUAAUGCGUUAGCUCCGGCACGGGAGGAGUCGACACCUCCCACACCUAGUGCCCAUCGUUUACGGCGUGGACUAC